RNAcentral lists this long non-coding RNA (878 nucleotides) under Musa acuminata (dwarf banana). RNAcentral describes it as "long non-coding RNA (MACU_LNC007560)". The record is from RNAcentral. Lineage: Eukaryota; Viridiplantae; Streptophyta; Magnoliopsida; Zingiberales; Musaceae.
AAGUUGGGGAAAUCUUAUCUUCUAUCAUGCCCCCGCAAGAUGGUGCUCCUAACAAGGAUACCAAUCUUGGAUCGAUGCAAAGAAUGGUUUACAAGCGAGAGGCUUCAUGAGUAAGAUAAGUGUAGAUCGCUGCUGCUGCUGUGAUUGCUGUUGUUGUGAUGGCACAGGUGUUCCCUUCAUUCUCCUUAAGUCUGCCGAAUGUUGACAGAUCAGCGAAGACUACCGCGGUGAGGAAGAUGAGGAUUGACCACGGAGCCUCUUAGGAUUGCAACGGCAUUGAUCGCUAGCCGAAGGGUGAAGCUUCACUUUCCUCAGCGACGUUGGUCGCUGGCUGAAGGCAAGAGCGAAGCUUCGCUUUUCUCAACGACGUUGGUCGUGGUUGCGAUUACGACGGCUGCGACGAUAGAGAAGAAAUCUACAGCAAUGUUGCAGUGAUGCUACUACAGCAAAGGAGGAAACUGCAACAGAGGAGGAAGCUGUAGCAGAAGAGGAAGGAAAAUAACUACAACGAGGAAGAAAGGUGGGGCAGUGUUGAUGAGCGCAACACUAGAGAUGCCGUAGCGGAAGGGAACGUACGUUGGCGCAAAGUGGCAACACCAAUGAUGAAUUGGCAGCGAGAAGAGAGCUUGCUCUAGGCAAGCGGCUCUGAUACCAUGAUAGAAAUAAUAGAAGAUAAGAACAAUAAUUGAAGAAGCUUUAUUGUAGAAAUGAAAUAGCUUUAGCUUGAAUCUAUUAACAUAUUCCCUCUCCUAUUUAUACAGAUUAGGAGAAAGGAUUUCCCUCAACAGAAUAAACAGAAUAGAGAGAUAGAGAGAUUUCCUCAUAUAAUUGGGGAAAUCUUAUCCUCUAUCAAGUUGGGGAAAUCUUAUCUUCUAUCA